CCUACGGGGGGCAGCAGUGGGGAAUAUUGGACAAUGGGGGCAACCCUGAUCCAGCCAUGCCGCGUGUGUGAAGAAGGCCCUCGGGUUGUAAAGCACUUUCAGUGAGGAAGAACGCCUGGUGGUUAAUACCCAUCAGGAAAGACAUCACUUACAGAAGAAGCACCGGCUAACUCCGUGCCAGCGGCCGCGGUAAUACGGAGGGUGCGAGCGUUAAUCGGAAUUACUGGGCGUAAAGCGCGCGUAGGUGGCUUGAUAAGCCGGUUGUGAAAGCCCCGGGCUCAACCUGGGAACGGCAUCCGGAACUGUCAAGCUUGAGUGCAGGAGAGGAAGGUAGAAUUCCCGGUGUAGCGGUGAAAUGCGUAGAGAUCGGGAAGAAUACCAGUGGCGAAGGCGGCCUUCUGGACUGACACUGACACUGAGGUGCGAAAGCGUGGGUAGCAAACAGGAUUAGAUACCCUGGUAGUC
RNAcentral lists this ribosomal RNA (465 nucleotides) under Vreelandella stevensii. RNAcentral describes it as "partial 16S ribosomal RNA". It matches the Rfam family "Bacterial small subunit ribosomal RNA", at positions 338 to 795 of the family's 1533-position model. Lineage: Bacteria; Pseudomonadati; Pseudomonadota; Gammaproteobacteria; Oceanospirillales; Halomonadaceae. The record is from RNAcentral.